RNA transcript from Capsicum annuum, 3550 nucleotides. RefSeq lists it as uncharacterized. The record is from RefSeq and is a predicted model, not a curated record. Lineage: Eukaryota; Viridiplantae; Streptophyta; Magnoliopsida; Solanales; Solanaceae. The transcript has 12 exons.
UCACAAAAUCUGUCAAACAUUUUAAAAAUAAAAUGUUCUUAAUUCACUCUCUCUCUCCCUUUGACGAGAAAAUAAUCGCAUCUGACCUCCUCCUUCUCUCUUUUCUCUCCCUUCUAUUUUUCUCUAAGUAAAAUGAAACAGUCAUCAAUCAGCCAACACUGGCCACACGGCUGGUGAACCACUAGAACAGCCAUCAACCAUUAGUCACCUAAGCCACCGGAGAAUCGUUGACCAGCGCUGCUGCGACACCAGCAAUAGCCAAUAACCUCUGCGCCAUCGGAUAAAACACAAACUUCACCUGCAAGGUUCUUGAAUACCUUGUUGCUGAGAUGCAUAAUAUGAGCUUGUGAGGGAUUCGAUGCUAAGCUUUGCCAAUUGUAUGCAUCUUUGUUAAUUAUAAAAGGUUUUCUUCUUAACUGUUGGAUCUUCUUCCUUGGUUUAUUACAGAUCUCGAAUUUGAGGUAUGUUUUCUAUUCCAAAUAGACAACCCUGUAAACUUUGGAGCUCCAAUUUACUCAAUUUUUAAGUUGUGUUAGGUUCUCCAACUUAUUUAAUCCUUUCUAGUGAAAUAUAAAUUGUGAAAGAACAUUUAUGAAACAAAGAUGUUAAGAUUAACCUUUGGGACGGGAAAUCCUCUUAUUGAAUGUCACAAUACCUUUUAACUUUCUUUUUCAUGCUUUGGUAAAUAUAACAUAUUAACUUUCCAAUAUCAGUAAGGUAUAGAUGAUGUUUAUAUAUGUUAUUUUACAUAUAUACCAAAAAUAUCUUUCUUUUCUUCUUGUUUUACUAUAGUAGACUAGCACCUCUCUUAAAAAAUAGAUUUUCAUGUGGACAGAGCUUAUCUUAGACUAUUUGUCCAACCCAUAUUUAUAAAUUUAUGUCACAGAUACCAAUGGUAAACUAGGAAUUAGAGGAAAUUGAGGGGAAGUCUAAGUAAUGUCACUUGGUGAGUGUAAAGGUAAUGUCUGCUGGCUGGUUCAUCUUGGGAUCUUGCAACAAGUAAAGUUUUUAAUCUGUGUUUGUAAGAAAGCAGAUCAAUCACGGAUAUCAAUUCGGGAUAAAGGGCUUUAUGAGAGGUCUCAUUCAAUCUCAUACCGAAAAGGAAGGGACAGAUAAUGAAAAAUAACCUGACUGAUUUAGGAUCUUACAGUAAAGUGUUGAUCGUUUACUUCCCAGCAUCUGUAUAGUUGAAAGAUAGGUAAACUGAUAUCCUUUUUCCAUUUAGUUCAAUUUUGGAAGCAUUUAAAAAUAUUUACAUCUCCCCUUUUCACUUAAUCCAAACUUGAUGAUACAUGGAGCCACAUGUCUCGACUUCACCCCUGAUGCACCAUGAAAACAUAUCCUGAUGAUACAUUUGAUGUCAUAUACAGUCGGGAUACUAUCCUUCACAUCCAGGUAUCAUAUCUCUGGCUCAGCUUUGCUCACAGUUAUGGAUCAAAGCCCUGUAGCUCCAUCACUUGAUAUGGCUUUUUUACAUCAAGAUAAUAAAGACCAAGAUGGAAGAUCACAAGCAUAUAUGAAUAGAGAAAAUUUUUUAAAGAGUUUAGAUUAUUUCUCAUAUCCAAGUAAACGAUAACACAUUUUCUUGAGUUUAUGAGAGAAUUGCAAGAGGCCAUCCUACUGUUGAUAUACCAGAAGUUUUGAGGUGUUGGACGCAUGUCCUACAAUGUGUUCAUAAGCAGUCCCUUCAAUUGGUAUAGGAGCCUGAUAUGCUCUCUUUUGAUUGUUUUUUACUUUCUGCUUCUCCUAUGGAGGAAUUUACUCAUUGGAGUCACUCUUGUAGUCCUACAACUACUACUCAUCAUCAUUAUGAUCAUCAAGAAUCUGGAUCUUGGUGAUGAUACGAGAUUUAUAGAGUUCUGCAACUUUGUUUUUAUGCAAUAUAAUAAGAAGGAUAAUGGUUCGAUUGAUCUUUUAAAUAAAAAGAAUAUAGAUACUGGACUUGGUUAGAGCGUGUGGCCAGGAUUUUGCAGAAGGUAAUCGGGAGAUAACAACAUUUCUGAAUGAAUAUAGGAAAAAAUUAGCAUGCAGCUACAUUCAGAAGCUGGGAAAGGUCAAUUUGAAAUUGUGUUGGGGUACACUGAUUGUGGUAGAGCAGCAAAUAACUUAAUAAUUACUCAUGAAGUUGCCAAAGGAGUUGCAAGGAAACAUGGUCUACUAGCAAGCUUUACCCCAAGAAUUCGAAUUCAAGAAAAGGAUUACUUUGCUAUUUUUUGGGUGACCGUUUAUCUCUCUCUCUUUAAUUUAGGCGAAAGAAAGAUGUUAGGUAGAGGUGACAAAGGUAAGGGAAAAGUUGAUCCUACGAAAAGAAAAAAGAAAAAACAACCUCCACCUUAUAAACGACCGACGGGUAUUCAUAUAUCUGAGGAUCGAUUUACUAAUGCGCCAGCAUGACCUUCAUAUUCUAGGUCAUCUCAGUAUUCGAUUCCUGCUCCUAUGUAUGCGGGGCCACUUCAUGGGUCUACACCAACUCAUUUUUCUUCUAUCACCAUGCCACCACUAUCACAGUACUAUCGAAUGACCGCUGGCACAUUUGGAAAUCUACCAUCCUUAGUACCCUCCUGUAGCAGCCACCCAGGUUUGCAUAGUGAUUCUGCUGGAUCUAUCGGGUUAUCGGAUCUUCAUCUUGAGGGCACGCUAUUCGGUGCUUCAAAUCCGCCCACGCCAGUGCAUCCACCAGCACUUGCUCUACAGCCUAGAGACAGAGAUGAUUAUGGGAGGUGUUAUCUUAUUCACUAUGGAACAGGGUUUAGGACGGAUGCUGGAGUUGGAAUAAUUGCGAGGAAUUGCAUUUGCCGGCACUUCAAUGUCUACUGGACCAGUUGGCAAAAGGUUCCAGAAAUGGACAGGGAAAGAAAGUUUAACGAAUUUCAUAAAUAUUAUCGGUGGGAUGAUGCGAAUGAAUGUGCUAUAAAGAGAAUUUUUCAUAGAAGAGCUAGAUCCAGAUUUAACGGUCAGUUAGAUUAUGCCAGAUCCAACGUGGUACGACCUGACUGGAUAAGGGAAUCCUUAUGGCAAUAUUAUAUUCACUAUUGGAAUAGGAAAGAAUACCAAUUGUUGAGGGUCAAAGGAAAGAAAGCCCGGGCAUCAUCCAAGGGUUGCUCCCUACAUACUGCGGGUGCAGUUAGUAUGAUUGAUGUGGAGGAAAAAAUGGAAAAAAAAAGGGUAGAAAGAUACCACAUGAUGAGCUAUUCGAGGAGACGCAUAUGAAAAAAAAACCCGACUGAUGAAGAUGUCUAGGUUGAACCUCGUGCAAAAGCUGCCAUGACAAUAUAGGCAGCUCCUUUGUGAGUUUCGUAGUAGUCAGCCUCCUGAAAGUCAGGGUGACCCAAUACCCCAACAUGUAGAGGAGGAGUUAUGGGAACAAGCUAUGGGUCUUGUAGUUAGAGGCUAUUUCUAUGGAUACCACAGAAAUAAUUUUGGCAAGAAUGUUAGGUCUUCGUUCGAUCCUACAUCCUAUACCUCUUCAGUUGACAGAGAAACCAUUGAAUCAUUACAAAAUACGAUUUCUAAACUCACUGAAGAACUUGCGGAAUAGAGAGAAAGGGCG